This is a non-coding RNA of Pelobates cultripes (western spadefoot toad), 1029 nucleotides long. Lineage: Eukaryota; Metazoa; Chordata; Amphibia; Anura; Pelobatidae. The record is from the annotation of a GenBank genome assembly.
UUGGAGAAUAAAUAUGAAUUUUAUUAAAAAUGAAUUAUUCUUUAAAAAGAGUGAGCAUGGUUGCGUAUUUUGUAUUAACACAUAUAGCCUUGGGCUAAAUUGAGUUGCUUGGUGAUUGCAUAUUUAGUUGAUUUUCUGUCUGGUCUGCUGGAGAGUGCACAGGAUCCUUCUCAAAUGAUGUUUGAAGCCUUUUAAUGGAUGAGUCGUGACGUGUUAAUGAUACACCCCAUAAUCCCUGAUAUCCAACUGAAGGGGCUACUCGUUUGUCUAGGCAAAAAUAUACACAAAGAAAGAUUAUUAGAUACAAUACUAAAGAUUAGUCAAUAUGUCUGCUGCUGAAUAUCUGUUUGUUUCAGUGUGCAUAAAUAUUUGUCUUAAAUCUAGUCACUUGUCAUUACAAGUUUUAAAGCUAAGGUAGUUCACUCUAUCAAUGCAACCCAUCCUAGAAACCCUAAAAACAAGACAUACCACAUGUCAAGACCAUUUUUUGCAUUUGUGUGACCAGGGUAACAAUUAUAAGUGGAGUCCUUUUUUAUUUUCUCCUUUGAAAUAGAGGUGGGGGUAUGGAUGGUAUCAUAAAUGGAUUUAUUUUGAUAUCAUAUUUGAGUGCCUAAUACUACCCUACAACACAAAAACAAACACGGUGUGCAGAUAUUUAUCAUGGCUGUCUGUGUUCAUCAGGGCUGCCAUCAGAAAUGUUGGGGCCCCUGACAUUGCUCAAGGUCUGGACCACCGGGGCCUGCCCCCGAGUCCACCCAAAAGGCCUGCCCCCGAGUCCACCUACAGGCCCGCCCCCAAAGGGUCUAACCUAAGUUGGCCCACGUAUGUGUGUGUGUGUGUGUACUUAGUGUGGUGUGUGUACUUGAUGUGGUAUGUAUGUCAUGAAUGCAGUGUGUAUAUUGGAUGCAGAUUGAACGUUUUGUGUAAUGUAUCUAAUGUUUGCAUGUAUUAGAUUUAGAAUGUGUGUUUGUGUAGUGGAGGUAGGUGUGUAUAGUGAAUGCAGAGUGUGUGUUUGUAUAGUGGAUGUAG